Long non-coding RNA from Oncorhynchus kisutch (coho salmon), 343 nucleotides. RefSeq lists it as uncharacterized. Lineage: Eukaryota; Metazoa; Chordata; Actinopteri; Salmoniformes; Salmonidae. The transcript has 3 exons. The record is from RefSeq and is a predicted model, not a curated record.
UCCGUGACUGGACGACACAUACCUCAAUGGAUAAGUAGUUUGUUUCCCCUCAACACCGAUAGUUCUGGAACCACAACCAUGAAAUGAGGGGCGCGGCCCGUCAGAGCCCUAUGGAGGAGUUGGUGGCUGCCUGGUACUCUGGAAUGCUGUUGUUCAGGCCUCUAGUUUCCUGAGACAUCCUCUCUUCUAGACAUUCCUCCAGCCAUGAAAAUGUAUCUCUAUCUAUUACAACCACAGAGGAGAUUUGUUUGUGUGGACUCCUGAGAACCAGCACACCAGGCUGUCGUCUUGGGAAACAGUGGAUGUAAAGAAUCUAGCUAGCUAAAGCAUUUACUGCAAAUUG